RNAcentral lists this long non-coding RNA (1177 nucleotides) under Nicotiana tabacum (common tobacco). RNAcentral describes it as "long non-coding RNA (NTAB_LNC005391)". Lineage: Eukaryota; Viridiplantae; Streptophyta; Magnoliopsida; Solanales; Solanaceae. The record is from RNAcentral.
AUCCAAGAGCUAAGAGACCUAAGGGAGAAAAAUACAGAAAAAGAAAAGUUGCUACUGUUCCAUUGAGACUUGGCUCUACACCUCGAAAUUUUCACUCUCUGAAACAUUUUUUUGGUCUGGACUUUGAAAUGGUUUGAGGUUUAGUCAGUGAGGUCAGAUUUUGGUGUUUAUCGAAUUGGCUAUGUGUUUUGAAGCUGGUGUUAGCUUACUGAAUUGCAUUUUACUGGGUUUUGAACUAUGAAGUUACUGUUUUAUUGGAUUUGGAACUAAUUCUGUGGUUUCAUCACUGAAUCUGGGCUGUUUUGUUGCUGCUAUCAAUCUCUGUUGAAGUACAAACUGUUGAUCCUUCUUUAUUUACUUGUUCCUUUCAUUUCAGGUACUCACACCUUCCAAUGUAUGAAAAUGGAUAAAUAUGAAGAUUGGUUCACUUGAAUAGAGAUUUAUAAUAAUGUAGUUGUUAUUCAAAAAAAAAGCUGCAAUCCGCCGUUUUCCUAUCAGACCUCCCCCACGCUCCUGCUUCUUCAUUCCUCAUCACCAUUAGAGAGCCUUAGACAGAGGAGCCGAAGCAGCUCCGCAAACCCCAAUAUCCAAAACACAAACAACCUCCAUGAUCGUCUUCUUCAUCAGAAAAGCCCCAAGAGAUGUACACUUGAGGAAGCAGUAGUUACACCCAAACAACCAUAUCAGUUCUAUUAGAUUUCUCAAUCAAAAAUCCAGAAACACUUUGUUUUUUUUUGUGGAUUUUGAUUUCAAAGAUGGAGUCGGUUUGAAUUAUUUGAUUCGAAUUUCCAUUUGAAGUUCGAGUUUGCCGAUGAUAACAUUUCUGUUCUUCAUUUGAUUCUGAUAUUCUGCUCUUCGAGUAUAGGAGUGGAGUUAAAUCAAGGUUGAUUCCAGUUCAUCGCCGGUGAAGUUCCCUAUGCCCAGUCCGGCUUGUUCGAGCUCUCUCGUCGAGCUUGUAUCUUUGUAUUCAUCUCCAUGUAUAUAAAGAAAUUGGGAGUAGAAGUAUAUCCCAUUGGAGUAGAACAAGUAAGUUGCUUUGCUUUUUCUUUCUAGGCUAUUCAAGUUAAUGGACUAUUUUUAUAGAAUUAUCAUUUUGCUUAGAUCUUGACAGUUGGUAUUGGGAAUGUGUGGAAUAUUUGGUAUUUCUGUUUGCACUUGACCCUUUCUAUUUCAAAUU